RNAcentral lists this long non-coding RNA (399 nucleotides) under Nicotiana benthamiana. RNAcentral's name for it is "long non-coding RNA (NBEN_LNC002136)". Lineage: Eukaryota; Viridiplantae; Streptophyta; Magnoliopsida; Solanales; Solanaceae. The record is from RNAcentral.
CCAUUCUGGUUGGUAAACACCAGCUAGCGCUUGUGCUUGCAUAGCAUCAUAUCCAUUCUGGAUAUAACAAACAGAUUCAACAAUCAAAAGAUGAAUAUCAGUUGCAACACAUAGAGCCAUCUAAUUAAGGUAGUAAUUACAAGAAAGUCUGAUGCUGGACAAAUAUGACGACAGCAUCCAACUUCAUCUUUUCUUCAAAGAAAUGCAGGACAAAGAUUGAAGCAAGCAAAUUUUGUUAGCAAAUAUUACGAAGCCUUUUUAACAGGAAAGGUCUAAUUAUGCUUUAAGACUCAAAACUGACUCACUGCCUGUUGCCAAUCAUGAGAAGGUUCAGAUGGCGGGACUGGGCCAUAGGCAGGUUCACUGAAAUAUGAGGUCCUCUCUUUGUUUCGAGGAGAU